RNAcentral lists this ribosomal RNA (459 nucleotides) under uncultured bacterium. Its description in RNAcentral is "partial 16S ribosomal RNA". It matches the Rfam family "Bacterial small subunit ribosomal RNA", at positions 338 to 795 of the family's 1533-position model. The record is from RNAcentral.
CCUACGGGAGGCUGCAGUGAGGAAUAUUGGUCAAUGGGCGGGAGCCUGAACCAGCCAAGUCGCGUGAGGGAAGAAGGUACUGCGUUUCGUAAACCUCUUUUGUCAGGGAAUAAAGGCGGGGACUAGUCCCCGGAUGAGGGUACCUGAUGAAUAAGCAUCGGCUAACUCCGUGCCAGCAGCCGCGGUAAUACGGAGGAUGCGAGCGUUAUCCGGAUUUAUUGGGUUAAAGGGGUGCGCAGGCGGCCUUUUAAGUCAGCGGUGAAAGCCCGGGGCUCAACCACGGCGAGCCGUUGAAACUGGCGGGCUUGAGUGUGGUUGAGGUACGCGGAAUGCGCGGUGUAGCGGUGAAAUGCUUAGAUAUCACGCAGAACCCCGAUUGCGAAGGCAGCGUACCAGGUCCUCACUGACGCUGAGGCACGAAAGCGUGGGGAUCGAACAGGAUUAGAUACCCGAGUAGUC